UAAGUCUAACCUGCUCAAUGAUUUAAUAAUUAAAUGGCCGCAGUAUUUUGACUGUGCGAAGGUAGCAUAAUCAUUUGUCUUUUAAUUGAAGGCUUGUAUGAAUGGUUGGAUGAGGGAAUUACUUUAUUUAUAUUAAGUUGAGAAUUUAAUUUUUUAGUUAAAAAGCUUAAAUUUUAAAGUGGGACGAGAAGACCCUAUAGAAUUUGAUUAUUAAUUUUAAUUUAAAUGGAUUGGUUUAUAUAUAAAUUACAUUAAAGUUAAUAAUUUUGUUGGGGUGAUAGGAAGAUUUAUUUAACUCUUUUAUUUAUUUAUUAUUUAUUAAUAUAUUAUUGAUCCCUAUAUUAGGAUAACUAGAUUAAAUUACCUUAGGGAUAACAGCGUAAUUUUUCUGGAGAGUUCUUAUUGAUGGAAAAGUUUGCGACCUCGAUGUUGGAUUAAAAUUAGCUUUAAGUGCAGAAGCUUAAAUGCUAGGUCUGUUCGACCUUUAAAUUUUUACGUGAUCUGAGUUCA
This 510-nucleotide ribosomal RNA is filed under the name Loxa viridis. Its description in RNAcentral is "partial 16S ribosomal RNA". It matches the Rfam family "Bacterial large subunit ribosomal RNA", at positions 1849 to 2613 of the family's 2925-position model. Lineage: Eukaryota; Metazoa; Arthropoda; Insecta; Hemiptera; Pentatomidae. The record is from RNAcentral.